Molecule: ribosomal RNA, 386 nt
Filed under: uncultured bacterium
Lineage: Bacteria
Description: bacterial SSU rRNA
Rfam family: Bacterial small subunit ribosomal RNA
Source: RNAcentral
GAUGAACGCUAGCGGCAGGCUUAACACAUGCAAGUCGAGGGGUAUAGUUCUUCGGAACUAGAGACCGGCGCACGGGUGCGUAACGCGUAUGCAAUCUACCUUUUGCAGAGGGAUAGCCCCAGAGAAAUUUGGAUUAAUACCUCAUAGUAUAGCAGUUUCGCAUGAAACCACUAUUAAAGUCACAACGGCAAAAGAUGAGCAUGCGUCCCAUUAGCUAGUUGGUAAGGUAACGGCUUACCAAGGCUACGAUGGGUAGGGUCCUGAGAGGAGAUCCCCACACUGGUACUGAGACACGGACCAGACUCCUACGGGAGGCAGCAGUGAGGAAUAUUGGACAAUGGCGACAAGCCUGAUCCAGCCAUGCCGCGUGCAGGAUGACGGUCCUA